Molecule: ribosomal RNA, 253 nt
Filed under: uncultured bacterium
Lineage: Bacteria
Description: partial 16S ribosomal RNA
Rfam family: Bacterial small subunit ribosomal RNA
Source: RNAcentral
UACGGAGGGAGCUAGCGUUGUUCGGAAUUACUGGGCGUAAAGCGCGCGUAGGCGGCUUUGUAAGUUAGAGGUGAAAGCCCGGAGCUCAACUCCGGAACUGCCUUUAAAACUGCAUCGCUUGAAUCCAGGAGAGGUGAGUGGAAUUCCGAGUGUAGAGGUGAAAUUCGUAGAUAUUCGGAGGAACACCAGAAGCGAAGGCGGCUCACUGGCCCGAUACUGACGCUGUGGCACGAAAGCGUGGGGAGCAAACAGG